This 305-nucleotide ribosomal RNA is filed under the name uncultured bacterium. Its description in RNAcentral is "bacterial SSU rRNA". It matches the Rfam family "Bacterial small subunit ribosomal RNA", at positions 338 to 640 of the family's 1533-position model. The record is from RNAcentral.
CCUACGGGGGGCAGCAGUGAGGAAUAUUGGUCAAUGGGCGGGAGCCUGAACCAGCCAAGUCGCGUGAGGGAAGACGGUCCUAUGGAUUGUAAACCUCUUUAGGCGGGGAGCAAUGCCGGGCACGCGUGCCCGGAGGGAGAGUACCCGCAGAAUAAGCAUCGGCUAACUCCGUGCCAGCAGCCGCGGUAAUACGGAGGAUGCGAGCGUUAUCCGGAUUUAUUGGGUUUAAAGGGUGCGUAGGCGGAUUUUUAAGUCAGCGGUAAAAUGUCCGGGCUCAACCCGGGCCGGCCGUUGAAACUGGGGAU